CAUUGCAAGAGUGGAGUGGCAAAUGACUUUAACAAGGAAGAGUUUGGAUCAAAGAUGAGCAAGGGAACACUAACAGGUAAGUCAGUGGAAAGCAUAAGCGAUAGAAGUAGUUUGCUGUUAACACCUUCAACUAAGGAGGAAAAUGCUGUUGCUGGUCCAAACUUAACGCAGAGCUCCAGUUCUGACUUGCGUCACACAAAGCAGAAAAAGAUACAGAAUUCCCC
This is a long non-coding RNA of Gopherus flavomarginatus (Mexican gopher tortoise), 224 nucleotides long. RefSeq lists it as uncharacterized. The transcript is spliced from 4 exons. Lineage: Eukaryota; Metazoa; Chordata; Testudines; Testudinidae. The record is from RefSeq and is a predicted model, not a curated record.